UUGGAGUGAUCCAAUAUAGUGAAACAUAAUGAAGGUUACCUAUGUAACCACGGUUAUGUGAACUAUAUGGAUCACUCCAAUCCUCUACGGUGCUAGAGGCUCCUUAAAAAUUAUGUUGAGAACAUGUCGCGGCCAUGGCGUCUAUAUAUAGGGGAGAACCCCAUCUGUGUCACUGGUGUACACGGAAGUAAAUCUGUAAAUCUUCACCUCGGAAGUAUCCCUCCGCUGCAGAGUGAUAUCAAUAUAUUGGAGUGAUCCAUAUAGCUCACAUAACCGUGGUUACAUACGUAAUCUUCGGUGUAUAUGCUCCUAAAAAAACAAUGAGGAGAUGGGAGAGGCCGGACUUGCAGCGCGUUGAGCGUCACAAAUAGAACAAAUUUAUAUUUUAGCGCAUGCCCACGAAGAUACUCGCUGAUGCCGGUGAGCAAUGUGGGUGCAAUAAGUGAAUAACAUGUAUGUCUACAUUUAUUUUGCAACGCUCGUACAUGAGCGGUGUGGUCAGCAUGUUAUGCUUCACGGAGCAGAGCUGUUGUCAAGGAAGUGAGUUUGUGUUUAUACAGGACCUCCCGCCCGCCUCCACCUACCAUCAAUCAAUCAUGUCAAUGCGGAGCUAUACUGAGCCCACAGCAUUGUUUAAGCAGUUUUGGGAGGCGGUGGGCACACAGGACAUUGGUACAGAGCUCAAUUUGGCCUCUGCGUGCCUCUGGAGGCUCUGCAAUUGCGUCACACCCUCCUUACGGAGUCUCCGACCACAUUUUCAUUUUCGGAUCAAGCAUAAAUUGGCUCUUACGUUUACGCACAGGUUUUCUGAGCACGCUAGAUAGCUAAUUAGCAUAUGUGGUCGCUGCUUGUCUGUUUACUGUAAACAAGCGCUGUAACAUGGAGAUAUGAUCGUGUGGGAAAACUAACACUAUCAAGGUGUGUAUCAAUUUAACCUUUUUGUUUUUUCAAAAUAAUUUCUCACUGAUAUGAAAGAUUCUUAUGCUUCCAAAACCAAACCACAAGUGACGCGUGUUAAUGGUAAGAUUAACGCUUCGAACACACCGACUGUGUUAGGGCAUCACUGCUGCAUAACAUUUUGUGCACCUAGGCAACUAUACUGAUGCAGGUACUUUUUGCAAAUGGUCGCAUGCAGUUGGACACAUGGAGGAGAGAAUCAUUUUCGCAGUAUCCUCAAAACCGUGUCUUUUUGACACAACUGCUGACAGCUACAGGGACAUAAACACAAAAAAUUCUGCUUGGAGACAAGUAUCCACGAUAGUAGGAUUGCCAGGUCAGUUUAGUAGUGAGCUUGUGCUAGAUGUGGCUAGUUAGCGUUAGCUAGCUAGCUAACCUAGCCAAUGAGGUGUGUGUGAAAGAAAUAGUCAAAUAAAUUAUGCAAGUUACUACCCUUGAUAACCUUCCCAAAUAAUCAUGUUUGAAAGAGUGAGUGUAUUUAUAGAUUAAUAGAAAUGGUAGAUACUACUGUACCCUGAUAAUUUGGUCAGAUAACCGUGUGUGUCUAUGUGUACAGUAGGUGACAAGUCCAUGAUAGCUAUCUAAUAACUAUAGUUAUGCUAGGUAAUGGUUUGGCUUAUCAUGUUCAUGUCUAUGUAGAAGAAGACUGUAGGAGGAAGUGGAGAGGACUCAGGGACAGGUAUCAGAGAGCGAGAAGGGUAGAGAAAGAUGGGUCAGCAGCUUCAGGCCAGCAGCCUUGGGGCUUCUGCCACAUUCUUUUCUGGAUCCAUUUAUUGUGCCUCGGGCAACGAGUGGCAAUUUUACAGCCAGACCCUUUACUACGUCAUCCACAAGUGUUGUCGCCACCGGUGCAUCAAGACCCUCAACGUCACCUACAAAUGCGACCAUCACCUCCACCGGUGGAGUGAGACCCUCUACAACAUCAUCCAUGAGUAUGACCACCACCGGUGCAGCCAUAGAAGAUGAUGAAAUGGAGGAAGCACCUCUGGAUCUAGGACCACCUGAGAUUAUUAUGAACCUCACGGAAGUGACCACUGAGGACCUCAUUGAACAGGAUGUGGCUGUGGAGAGAAACAGAGAAACGAAGAGGAACAACAUCACACCAGGCGUCAUCGGAGGUACCAGCCCCCAGAUCCACUCAACUAAUUUCAGCAGAGGCUCCUCCAAGCCGUCGAGCAGGAUGCUGCCCAACCUGAUGAUCACAGGAAGGAGACCCUAUUUGCCAUGAGCCUGGUGCAAACACUGAAGAGGCUGCCUCCGCAAAGAAAAGCAGCAGUCAAGGUUAAAAUGUAUCAGCUGCUUUUCGAAGCCGAGUUCAAUGAGAUGGAGUCAAUUUAACAGACAAGCUCACAGGAAGGACAGGAAGAGGAGAGGAGUUGUCUGGUUGUUGUUUUGACCUCCAUCAUUGUACCUUUCUUUUCACACACGUCAGUUCUGUUUAAAUUCAGUCAAUUCAUAGUCAUUUGUUUAUAAAGUCUUAGGAUAGCAUUCAUUAUUAGUGUUACAUAGAUUUCUGAAUUGAAACUCAUACAGAGUUUUCACAGAUGCUCUUGGUCUCUUACAAGACUAAAGGUCAAUAUUUCUUUCAUUUAAAACCACUUGAAAACCAGGGUUUUGAAACUUCACAAAAAGUUAUGUUCCAUCGACUGGUCCGUGACAUCCAGGGGCCAUUUGUUUGUUUAGCUGUAUUAUGGCUACAUAUUAUUCCCUUUUUUUCAGAGACAGAGACACACCUCUUCGUACCUCAGAUCUCCAGUAUCCUGCCCUCUCUCUCUUUAUGGCCAUGUCUGAAGUUCCCCUACUACGUCUAGGCUUUAUGAGUAGUCCCUGUAUCAGUCUGCAGUUGUGCCAAAAAUACAUGCUGUUCUCUUACAGAUUACAGGUUACACAUUCAUUUAAAAACAUAUUUUUUACACACACACACACACACACUUCUUUCAAUAGUUGUAUUUUUUAAAACAUUUUUACAAUACACAUAACUGUCAUGUUCUUUCCUGUACUUGAAUACUUAUUAAAUUAUGUUUUCAUAGUCA
Long non-coding RNA from Oncorhynchus tshawytscha (Chinook salmon), 2990 nucleotides. RefSeq lists it as uncharacterized. NCBI's taxonomy places the organism in Eukaryota, Metazoa, Chordata, Actinopteri, Salmoniformes, Salmonidae. The transcript has 2 exons. The record is from RefSeq and is a predicted model, not a curated record.